Odocoileus virginianus texanus is the source of this 387-nucleotide non-coding RNA. The record is from the annotation of a RefSeq genome assembly. Lineage: Eukaryota; Metazoa; Chordata; Mammalia; Artiodactyla; Cervidae.
AUGCUAUUCACAGCACCAGUGUUAAACUUAUGGAUGCAAAUACCACAAAUGAAUGGACAACAGAUAAAGCAUUUUCCUGAAUUCUUGCUUCUACAAGAAGGAGAGAACUUCACUACAUACUGCAAUUUCUCGAGCAACUUUUACAACUUACAGUGGUAUAAGCAGAGGCCUGGGGGCAGUCCUGUCCUCUUGAUGAUAUUAGCUAAGGGUGGAGAAGUAAAGACGCAGCAGAGACUGACAGUUCGGUUUGGAGAGUCCAGACAGCACAGCUCCCUGCACCUCACGGCCGCCCAGCCCUCAGAUGUAGGAACCUACUUCUGUGCCCAGAAACAGUGCUCUGGAAGCACCUGCUUCAGAACUUUUGUGCUGAAAACUAUAAAGCACUGA